This 413-nucleotide long non-coding RNA is filed under the name Callithrix jacchus (white-tufted-ear marmoset). RNAcentral's name for it is "lncRNA (ENSCJAG00000073050.1)". The record is from RNAcentral. Lineage: Eukaryota; Metazoa; Chordata; Mammalia; Primates; Cebidae.
AUGAGGCACAGUCUGGAAAGGAGACACUGUGGGGAGUUAGUCUGCUCUCUUCAAGGAUUGUCUGUCUUGCAUUCCUCAAGGAGUUUCCAGACUUGGAAGAGAGAAACACAGGGGCCAAAAGCCUCAAUCCUAGAAAUGACAGUGAUGACAGAGAAGGAUCAGAGGAGGGAAGCCAGUGAGCAUCCUCUGGGUUAAGAUGCCCUGUCCACAAAGAAGGGAGUCUAGUAACAGUCUGCUUGCUGAGGUUCUGUUGGGCCACAGGCUCAGUCCAGCUGCUGUGUGAAUUUCCUCUGGCUUUUGUUUACACAGGUAAGAUUAGAGCCACCUCAGCAAUGGCAGACACCCUUUCCCCCCCUGGACUUGAUCAUCCCAGAUGGAGCUCAAACUGAUGUGCUGGUUGUGAAGCUUUCAAG